This 439-nucleotide ribosomal RNA is filed under the name uncultured bacterium. RNAcentral's name for it is "bacterial SSU rRNA". It matches the Rfam family "Bacterial small subunit ribosomal RNA", at positions 959 to 1397 of the family's 1533-position model. The record is from RNAcentral.
ACGCGAGGAACCUUACCAGGUCUUGACAUCCUCUGACACUCCUAGAGAUAGGACGUUCCCCUUCGGGGGACAGAGUGACAGGUGGUGCAUGGUUGUCGUCAGCUCGUGUCGUGAGAUGUUGGGUUAAGUCCCGCAACGAGCGCAACCCUUGAUCUUAGUUGCCAGCAUUUAGUUGGGCACUCUAAGGUGACUGCCGGUGACAAACCGGAGGAAGGUGGGGAUGACGUCAAAUCAUCAUGCCCCUUAUGACCUGGGCUACACACGUGCUACAAUGGAUGGUACAAAGGGCAGCAAAGCGGUGACGCCUAGCAAAUCCCAUAAAACCAUUCUCAGUUCGGAUUGUAGGCUGCAACUCGCCUACAUGAAGCUGGAAUCGCUAGUAAUCGCGGAUCAGCAUGCCGCGGUGAAUACGUUCCCGGGCCUUGCACACACCGCCCGU